GACGAACGCUGGCGGCGUGCCUAAUACAUGCCAGUUGAGCGCUGAAGGUUGGUACUUGUACCAAUUGGAUGAGCAGCGAACGGGUGAGUAACGCGUGGGGAAUCUGCCUUUGAGCGGGGGACAACAUUUGGAAACGAAUGCUAAUACCGCAUAAAAAUUUUAAACACAAGGUUUAAGUUUGAAAGAUGCAAUUGCAUCACUCAAAGAUGAUCCCGCGUUGUAUUAGCCAGUUGGUGAGGUAAAGGCGCACCAAGGCGAUGAUACAUAGCCGGCCUGAGAGGGGGGUUGGGCAAAGUGGGACUGGGAAAACGCCCAAGACCCUUCGGGAGGGGAGAGGAAGGAAUCUUCCGGAAAGGAGGAAAAUCUGGACGGGCAACGCCGCGGGGGUGAAGAAGGUUUUCGGAUCGGAAAACUCUGUUGAUAGAGAAGAAAGAUGGGGGGAGUGGAAAGCUCAUCAAGUGACGGUACCUAACCAGAAAGGGACGGCUAACUACGUG
This 497-nucleotide ribosomal RNA is filed under the name uncultured bacterium. Its description in RNAcentral is "partial 16S ribosomal RNA". It matches the Rfam family "Bacterial small subunit ribosomal RNA", at positions 28 to 507 of the family's 1533-position model. The record is from RNAcentral.